GGCGCUAUAGCCAAGUGGUUACGGCGACAGAUUAGAAUGCCCUCCAAUUACAGGUUCUAUCUGUUCCUCUUUGAGGGCGCAGGUUCAAAUCCUGCUGGCGUCG
Molecule: non-coding RNA, 103 nt
Organism: Gymnopus androsaceus JB14
Lineage: Eukaryota; Fungi; Basidiomycota; Agaricomycetes; Agaricales; Omphalotaceae
Source: the annotation of a GenBank genome assembly